RNAcentral lists this ribosomal RNA (1434 nucleotides) under Ceratomyxa cretensis. RNAcentral describes it as "SSU rRNA". It matches the Rfam family "Eukaryotic small subunit ribosomal RNA", at positions 346 to 1786 of the family's 1831-position model. The record is from RNAcentral. Lineage: Eukaryota; Metazoa; Cnidaria; Myxozoa; Bivalvulida; Ceratomyxidae.
CUACAGGAGUUACGGGUACGGGGAAUCAGGGUUCGAUUCCGGAGAGGGAGCCUUAGAAACAGCUACCACAUCCAAGGAAGGCAGCAGGCGCGCAAAUUACCCAAUCCAGACACUGGGAGGUAGUGACGAGAAAUACUGGGGAUGCACCAAGUGUGUAUCAUCCGGAAUGAACGUAACACAAAAAAUUCGAUGAGGAUCUACUGGAGGGCAAGUCUGGUGCCAGCAGCCGCGGUAAUUCCAGCUCCAGUAGUGUAUAUCAACAUUGUUGCGCUUAAAACGCUCGUAGUUGGAUUACAGAGUGUCGAACACGCUGUCUAUUAUGGCGGUUGUGGUAUAUUGUGUCGAGCUGGUCUAAAGACGGUUCAAACGAUAUAUGACGCUCUUUUGUCGCAUUGGCUUUGGUUGGUAGCUUUACUGGUGCCGACCAAACGCCGAUGGAGUGUGCCUUGAAUAAAACAUGGUGCUCAAAGCAGGCGUAAGCUCGAGUGUAAUAGCAUGGAACGAAUAAAAGAUCUUGGCCGGUAUAUCCGGUUGAUGGUUCAUUCAGUAUUGGUGGUGGACCGGGUCUCAAUGGUUAAAAGGGACAUCUGAGGGCACUAGUACUCUGUGGCGAGAGGUGGAAUUCUUAGACCCACAGACGACUAACUACUGCGAAGGCAUUUGCCAAGAAUGUUUUCAUUAAUCAAGAACGAAGGUUAGAGGAUCGAAGACGAUCAGAUACCGUCCUAGUUUUAACAGAAAACUAUGCCAGCAUAGGCUGAGGGCGACCAUCCUUACCCAGGAACGAGUCACCUUGGUCCUUAGGGGAAACCUAGCUUUCGGGCUGCUGGGAGAAUAUUGCUGCAAGGCUGAAAUUUAAAGAAAUUGACGGAGAGGCACCACCAGGAGUGGAGCUUGCGGCUUAAUUUGACUCAACACGGGGAAACUCACCAGGUCCAGACAUUGGGAGGAUUGACAGACUGAUAGAUCUUUCAUGAUUCAGUGAUUGGUGGUGCAUGGCCGUUCUUAGUUGGUGGAGUGAUCUGUCAGGUCUAUUCCGGUAACGAGCGAGACCACGGCCUUUUGAGUUACAGCCCGGCYAWUUGGUUGGUGCUAACUAGAGGGACAGCCGGUGAAAAGCCGGAGGAAGCGUGGCAAUAACAGGUCUGUGAUGCCCUUUGAUGUCCUGGGCUGCACGCGUGCUACAAUGGCAACAGUAGAGAGAUGCUACCUCGAGAGAGGGUUGGCGAACCUGCUAAUGGUUGUCGUGAUUGGGAUUGAGCCUUGCAAUUAUUGCUCAUGAAAUAGGAAUUCCUCGUAAGCACGAGUCAUCAGCUUGUGUUGAAUACGUCUCUGCCUCUUGUACACACCGCCCGUCGCUACUACCGAUUGAAUUGCUUCUAAAGCUGGCCGGACCGGACUUGGGUUGACCGAGCUGGAAGGGCCGACGAUGGA